UUAAAACUAAAAAAUAAGUAGAUAUUGGGCCCAUACUAGCACGGGCACCUUUUUCUAGUGUUAUCAUAAGGGCAAAAUUCAUGGAAAAUUCAAAAUUGAUCAAAAAUUAGCAAUAGACUCUUCCUUUGAUAAAUAUAAGAUUGUACUAUGCUUGAUAUCAAAAUUCCUCCUGAUAUCACAGCCGGGGUGGAUGGCUUCAACACUAAGCAUUUCCUACUACGACAUUUUUGCGUGACCUCUUCCUUGAUCUCUUCCUGCUUCUCACAGUUCCCUCACCAUUCUUGUUUUCCUUUCCCAAGGUCGUGAUUGUAUCCACAGGCUUCUUCUUCUUCUUCUUCACAGAGAGUGGAUUUGGACCCUUAGCUUUCUUUCUCUUGAAACGAACUUUAUCCUUGACAUCACUUCCAUUCCUCUGAAGAUUUGUAUUGAUAAUCUGAGCCUGUGAAACAUCAUCUGUCUCUCCCUCUGAUGCAUUGGAAGAAUCCCCUUGUUUGACAUCGGACAGUUUCCUCUUUUUCCCCUGUCUAAGCAUGUUGUACUCCAGGUCAGUCAUGUGAAGACGUUUUUCUUCAGCAGAUUUGGCAAACUCACGUUGAAAUGAUGAUGGUUGUUCGAGAAAUAAUGCAUUCCUAAGAGCAAAAAUUAGGGGCACACCAGGUAUCUUCUGAAGACUUCUACGCAUAUCUGCAUCUUGAGUAGCAACAAAAAAGUGUUCAGGAUUGUUCUCCCCAAUAACUUCAGUUAUGCAAUCUUCAGCACUUUUGCGUGUCUCAUGGUCACAUCGUGCAGUAAAAAGGUUAUUAGCUGCAUUCAGUGAUUCCUGAUAGUUACCACCAAGACUCUUCAACUCCGCAAGAACGCAUCUUGUGGUGAAUAGUUUAACUGGGGCACCUAGAAUAUUUGUCAAUGCAGUAUCAGCAGGUGUAAUGCGAUUAACAACAAGAUGAUGCACAAAUGUUCCAUCACAGAAGAUUUUAAAAGGCUCUCUAAACCCAAAACAAGCCGUGUAAAACCUCACAGCUCUCCUAUGCCGCUUCUGCUUUUUCACCCUCAUCUGGACAGGUGAAUCGUCAACCGACUAUAACUGCUAAAAAUAGAUGAUGAUCAGCGAUUUGAAGGUUGACGGCAAUCGGCGCCGGCGAUUAGGAGAAUCAAAA
Molecule: unclassified non-coding RNA, 1157 nt
Filed under: Hevea brasiliensis (rubber tree)
Lineage: Eukaryota; Viridiplantae; Streptophyta; Magnoliopsida; Malpighiales; Euphorbiaceae
Source: RNAcentral